CCGGCUCCUUGGUGCGGAGGUCAGGCACAUGCUGCUCCUGAUAGGGGAUCAGGAAGGUGGGCGCAUUAUCGGGGUUCAACGCGUCGGCGACCGGA
This 95-nucleotide transfer RNA is filed under the name Microbispora bryophytorum. Its description in RNAcentral is "tRNA-Arg". The record is from RNAcentral. Lineage: Bacteria; Bacillati; Actinomycetota; Actinomycetes; Streptosporangiales; Streptosporangiaceae.